UUAAAGGCAUAUUUUUUAAUUUUAUUGCGAGAUCAUGAUCAGUUCGAAUUUAGUGUGUGAAGAAAUCUAUAUUACCCUCUUAAUGAAAUAAAAUGUUCGGUGGAGACAUCUACCGAUUCUUUCGAAAGUAUCGUAAUCGUAGACUCUCAAGGUGCAUAAAAGUCGUAUGGAACUCAUUUUCAAAAUUGCAUUCAAUUGCAUUACAGUCUCAAAUAAUUCUUUGCUUGAAUGAAAUAUUGGAAGCAAUACAUAUAAUUACAAUCGAAGCUCUCAUUCAAUCACAGUUCGAAAUAAUUGUUGAAAUUUUGCUACAACUUAUGAAACAAAACCUACAUAAGAUUAUAUACCAUACCUUAUACCACAUUAUAAUGCUUGAUUAAUCAGUAUAAAAAUAAUAAUUGAGGAUGAACAAAAUGUAAUUGUUUACUCGAAAAAUGAAAUUUUAAGUGUAUAAUAGUAGCAAUCUAUACAAUUUAUUACCUGUAAUUUCAUUCAACACAAAGUUUUAAUUGUAUAAAACGCUAUAUAAUAAAUUGGCAUACAAUUCAUAAAGUGUCAUAAAUUUUAAAGUAUAUAUAAAGUAUAAUGUAGCAGAAACAUAGCUAUCGCUUAAAAUACCACAGCCAAUCGUCGACAAACAUUUGUGAGGUCAGUCCACCGAGCUCUCGUGAAAUUAGCUGAAGAGGGAGAAAUAGAAUGCAGCUAGUGAAUGUGGCAUAACAGAAUAAAAGGAGCACGGUGCAUCCUUUACUGAUGAAAGUCUGACUCGACCUACAGGCCACUACAAAAUUAUCUUCUUUAACUCUCAUCUCUAGAGGAAAAAUAUUUUCUACUUCAAGUCAAAGAAAACAUGAAUGCAAAUGUAAAAGCAUAAUUACAAAAAUAUUUCAUAGCCUGAAUAUUUGAUAAUACGAUAGACUUUUUAUAAACGAUAGAAACUAACCUCUUUUCAGAAAGAAAUGUUACCUUUACCUCGUGCUUGUAGGAAAUAGAAGGAAUGAAAAAUAAUGAAUUAUUUAAAACGAGAUGAAGUAAACCACGCACAAAAUCAUAUUUUGAAGAAGCUAAAAAAUAUUGGAAUAUUACUGUUAUACAAAAUAGGAAGAAAAUUAAGAUACAUAUAUAUAGUCAUUUUAAUUAUGUUGUACAAACACAUACAAAACCUUGAAGACACUGCUAAAGAUAGACCAGAGGAUUUUCGCGGGUGGCAAAGGAAGGCAGUCGGCGAAAGACGAGCUUUCUUCGAAUCGAAAGAGGAAGAUCGAGUGACGGAGCGUGUCCGCCCGACAACAGCGAAUCCUCAAGCUCGAAAAUAGAUCGCAUAGCUUUCCCGGCACUUCAAACGACGUGUAUCGUAAUAGGCAAGCCCGCUGCUCACCGAAAAGUCUUGGCCACGGAUAAUUAAACGUUUAUAAACACCAGAGAUUCCGCAAAACCCUGGUCGCACAUGACGACAUUAUUUGGCACGUUUCACCGAAAGAGCAACGUGCAAGGCCACGAUAAAAUCUGCAUUUAUUAUGCGAAUCAUAAAUACGAGAGAUACAAACUGAGCAAUAUUACGAGAAUUUUGGCUUCGUAUAGAUUUAAUUUAAAUAUAACAUAAAACAAUUUUUUGUAUGUAAUAUAGGAACAUUCACUUUCUUUGAAUAAGUAUUGUUAUACAUGUUAUUUAAAAUUUUUACAAAUGUAGUCAUUCGCUAUGUUUGAGGAAAUAAUUGAGUUCAGAUAAAUUAAUUGUGUUUAUGAAUAUAAUUUAGUUUAGUUGAGUUUAAACAAAAUAUUUUUUAUGAAUAUGAUAUGAGUAUUUACAAGACUUUUUUGCAAUAGUAAAACAAAUACUUUAACAGAAUAAGAGAAGUAUCCCCAGUCAAAAUGUUUGUUAACAUGUUUGAGAAGAUUAAUUUUGUUUUAGUUCUGUAAAAGUUAAAAGAAAUUUUUAAUAGAGUAUAAAGCUAUUGUAACUGGGUGGAAUCUCGGUUAAAUUGAAAGUUUUAAUUUAAUAAGUAUUCAUAAAAAAUACCAUAAAAGAUACAAGUUGUUAAUUUUACAAAAUUAAUUUGUUUUACGGGCGAAUAAUGUGGUCUACAGCUGUUUGGAGUGAUAAUACAUAUAAGAUUCUCUCAAGUAUCAGGAAUGUUUUAACGUGUAAUAAAAUUUUAAGCCGUAGUUUCUGAUUAUUUUGAGCGAUGUACGAUUGCGUAACGUAAACCUUCGAAGCGUUCGAAAGCUUUGAAAAAUAAGCUUCCGGAUUUUUAAUGCCACUUAUCUUGUAUCUUUUUGAUUUACAGAUAUAGUCUGAAUCUCCUAUCUUGCGUAUUAGUGAUAAACGCUAUUACAUAUGGUGAUAUACUUUUUAGAGACUUUACAAAGUUUUCUUUAGCAUAUAUUUUAUAUAAAAUAAGAAUAGCAUUUUAAACGAUGAUGAACUGUUUGUUAAAUAUCAUAAUUGCAAUAUAUCUAUAAACAAAAAAGUGGGUUCGGAUUUUAAGCAUUUUAGAUUAUUUUAUAUGAAAUGUUUAUUUGAAAAAAAUUCAAUCUACAUUUGGAUGUUAUUAAAUCAUCAUUUUGCCAGUAAUUCGCCUGGUAACAGAAGCUGCAAUCAGCCUGUAAACUAACAAAUCAUUAUCGUUUAGCAGUUAUUACGUGAACUACUGACGUAAUACAAGUAGGUGCACGUGUACGAUUUAACGAUUUUUCGAAGUCGCUUCAACUUGUUAUAAGCUCUCUAACCAGCACAAAAAUAGUAUAGCUUCCAUAUUCUUCGUUUUACAAAGGCUUUUUCAUUUUUAAACUGUUAUUAGAAUUUAACGUGAGAAACAAAAACCAAGGAGACUCACUUUAUUACAAAAGAAUUUAGAAUUAGGUGUGUUUUAAUAAAAAUAUCAAUGAGUGUUGAUUUUCUCAUUUCUCUCUGUUUAAUCUCUCAUAAGACGAAAUUGAAAAUAAAGCUAGGAGUGCCUACUUCUUUCCAUAAAACAAUUAAAAGUAGUUAUCGAGUUUUAUAAUAAAAUGAGAAAAGUGGUAUUACCAAUACUUCUAAAAAAAUAAUUUGACAAGUGGAUAAUUUGUUCAUAUAAAAUUAUUUUCAUUCUCAGAAAUUGCGUUUCUGUCAUUAUAAUAUCUUCAUCUAUAAACACCUUGUUCCAUACUUUGACAAAUUGUUUCAACAGUCCUAAAAUAACGCGAUGAAAAGAAAAACAGAAAAUACUUGAAGAUUUAUCACGACACAGGAAACAUUUGCCUAAAUUUGAAGCUUAUCAAACGAUAAGAAAUGGAGCGAUAAGCGACCAAAAUUCACAGGUGUGGGCUACAUCUGUGAAAAUUAACAAGCAUCGAUCCGGGACCGACAAAGAUACGCACGUCCUUACAAUCUAUAUCGUUAACAAUCUGAAAAAAUAGAUAUAAAAUGGCCCCAAAUCAAAAUAUUCCGUUGUUCCUCUCCAGCCAUUCGUCAUGUCUUGUCGAUCUUCAAACAAAACAAUAAAACGAUUAAUUUUAUGAUUCUCGAGAACGUUGCAAUUGUGCAAGAAAAUGUUAAUCGCAGAAAUAACUAAAUAACUGAGCUAAGCCCUGCAAUAUCAGGUUCCUUGGCAUGUUGUCAAGGAGUCAUUGUUUCGUCUGAUUGUCUCGUAUCGAAAAUUUGCCAGCAAAGGCAUGAAAAGAAAAAAAAGAGAGAGAAGGAAAGAUGGAUAAACGCUCAAGAUCGUGGGUUCGCACAGGUAAACAGGACGGAGCUCCAAUUAAAUUUGGCAAGAAAUUCUGGCACGAUUUUAGAAUGGCCGACGUAGCCGAUUUCACGGCCACUCGCGUCACUAUACAGUGAGGGAGCGAUGUCUUAAGACGCGAGAUCCCUUGCGACAUAAAUGACUUGCCUUAAGCCUUAAACUAUUGCAGCCAGCUUACUAUUAAAAUACAACGACCGUCCGUUCCAUCCUUCGCUUCUCUUACAUCGUUUAUGGGGCUUUUUGAUAAUCUCGAUUCUUCAGUAUAGGAAUUCAAAAUUCAUACUAAUCAACUCUAUAAAUUAAAAUAUACAGAGAAACUUUGAUGCUGAGAAUGCUAUUUUUCAAAAUUUACCUUGAAAUUUAUAAUCAUUUAUAUCAUCUUGCCAUAAAUGAAUUUAUGAAAGCAACUUGUUUUUUGAGAAGUUGAACACUCAUUAUACAUCUUGAUAACGUAAUUGAAAGAUGUAUAAAAUGUUAAAGAUUAUAUAUGCGGAUGGUUCCAUUCAUACGUAAAUAGCUUAGUCAGUGUUAUCCAUCAUUUGCUUAUAAUUCUUACCUGCAACUUUUAGAUAAAGAAUUUACAUGUUAUUUAUGGUUUAUUGUAAUAAUAUAUUGAUUUUGAAAUAA
Molecule: long non-coding RNA, 4352 nt
Organism: Bombus impatiens (common eastern bumble bee)
Lineage: Eukaryota; Metazoa; Arthropoda; Insecta; Hymenoptera; Apidae
Exons: 2
Source: RefSeq, a predicted model, not a curated record